Molecule: ribosomal RNA, 497 nt
Filed under: uncultured bacterium
Lineage: Bacteria
Description: partial 16S ribosomal RNA
Rfam family: Bacterial small subunit ribosomal RNA
Source: RNAcentral
GAUGAACGCUGGCGGCGUGCCUAAUACAUGCAAGUCGAGCGAACAGACGAGGAGCUUGCUCCUCUGACGUUAGCGGCGGACGGGUGAGUAACACGUGGAUAACCUACCUAUAAGACUGGGAUAACUUCGGGAAACCGGAGCUAAUACCGGAUAAUAUAUUGAACCGCAUGGUUCAAUAGUGAAAGACGGUUUUGCUGUCACUUAUAGAUGGAUCCGCGCCGCAUUAGCUAGUUGGUAAGGUAACGGCUUACCAAGGCGACGAUGCGUAGCCGACCUGAGAGAUUGUUCGGCCACACUGGAACUGGGACACGGUCCAGACUCCUACGGGAGGCAGCAGUAGGGAAUCUUCCGCAAUGGGCGAAAGCCUGACGGAGCAACGCCGCAUGAGUGAUGAAGGUCUUCGGAUCGUAAAACUCUGUUAUUAGGGAAGAACAAAUGUGUAAGUAACUAUGCACGUCUUGACGGUACCUAAUCAGAAAGCCACGGCUAACUACGUG